UUUUAUUUUGUUAUUAAUUUUUAAUUUUUAUUUAAUAAGGGGAAUUAUAUUUUUUUUAUUAUUUUUGUUAGAAAAAAUUGUUAUUAUUAUAGUUUAAAGUAUUGAAAUAGAAUUAAUUUAAAUUUUAAGAAGAAGAAUUUUUUCGUACCUUGUGUAUCAGGGUUUAUUAAUUUAUUAUUAAUUAUUUAGUUUUCCCGAAUUCAAAAGAGCUAUUAUUUUAUUUAUUUUGUUGUUUAAUAAGCAUUUAUAAUUAAAUGAUGGUAGUGAAAUGUUAUUCGUUUUUGAUGAUAUCUGGUUUCCUGAGAAAUUAAUUUAAUUUAUGUAAUUUGUAAUGUAUUUAUUUUUUAAUAUUGAUACUUUUAUAUUUACUUAUGGCUAUUGGGAUAAGCUUGAAGUCAAAUUGUUAUAAAUAUUUUUGUUAGUGAUUUUAUUUAGGAUUAGAAUUUUCCAUUCUUUGAAGGAUGUUAUAUUUUUAAAUCUUUUUUUAUAAUUUUCUAUUUUUUAAUUAUUUAUUAGGACUAAAUUUUAAUUUUUAAUUUUUUGUGAUAAUGAUUAAAUUAGUAUAUUUUUAUUGUUUUUGUCUGUUAUUGUUAUGUGAUUAAAAGGAAUUCGGCAAAUUUAGAUUUUCACCUGUUUAUUAAAAACAUGUCUUUAUGAAUAUUAUUUAAAGUCUGGCCUGCCCAAUGAUUAGUUAAAUGGCCGCAGUAUUUUGACUGUGCAAAGGUAGCAUAAUCAUUAGUUUCUUAAUUAGAAGCUGGAAUGAAAGGUUUGAUGAAAAAUUAACUGUCUUUUAUUUAAUAUUAUAGAAUUUUAUUUUUAAGUAAGAAAGCUUAAAUUUUUAAUAUAGACGAGAAGACCCUAUAGAGUUUUAUUAAUUAUUUAUUUUUAUUUUUUGAUUUGUUUAUUUUAUAUAAUUAAUUUUGUUGGGGUGAUGAAUAAAUUUUAUAAACUUUAUUUUUUUACACGAUUAUGCUCGUUUACUUGAUCCUUAUUUUUGGAUUAUAAGAUUAAAUUACCUUAGGGAUAACAGCGUAAUUUUUUUUGAAAGUUCUUAUUGAUAAAAAAGUUUGCGACCUCGAUGUUGGAUUAAAAUUAAUAUUUGGUGCAGUAGCCUUAAUAUUAGGUCUGUUCGACCUUUAAAAUUUUACAUGAUCUGAGUUUAGACCGGCGUGAGCCAGGUUGGUUUCUAUCUUGUUUCGUUUUUCAUAUUUUAGUACGAAAGGACCAUUUAUG
Molecule: ribosomal RNA, 1233 nt
Filed under: Alleculinae sp. BMNH 1042437
Lineage: Eukaryota; Metazoa; Arthropoda; Insecta; Coleoptera; Tenebrionidae
Description: 16S ribosomal RNA
Rfam family: Archaeal large subunit ribosomal RNA (bases 1023-1181)
Source: RNAcentral